UGGAGAGUUUGAUCCUGGCUCAGAUUGAACGCUGGCGGCAUGCCUUACACAUGCAAGUCGAACGGCAGCAUGAUCUAGCUUGCUAGAUUGAUGGCGAGUGGCGAACGGGUGAGUAAUACAUCGGAACGUGCCCUGUAGUGGGGGAUAACUAGUCGAAAGAUUAGCUAAUACCGCAUACGACCUGAGGGUGAAAGUGGGGGACCGCAAGGCCUCAUGCUAUAGGAGCGGCCGAUGUCUGAUUAGCUAGUUGGUGAGGUAAAGGCUCACCAAGGCGACGAUCAGUAGCUGGUCUGAGAGGACGAUCAGCCACACUGGGACUGAGACACGGCCCASGACUCCUUACGGGRAGGCAGCAGUGGGGAAUUUUGGACAAUGGGGGCAACCCUGAUCCAGCAAUGCCGCGUGUGUGAAGAAGGCCUUCGGGUUGUAAAGCACUUUUGUCCGGAAAGAAAUCGCACUUACUAAUAUUAGGUGUGGAUGACGGUACCGGAAGAAUAAGGACCGGCUAACUACGUGCCAGCAGCCGCGGUAAUACGUAGGGUUCAAGCGUUAAUCGGAAUUACUGGGCGUAAAGCGCACGCAGG
This 584-nucleotide ribosomal RNA is filed under the name uncultured bacterium OSs74. RNAcentral's name for it is "bacterial SSU rRNA". It matches the Rfam family "Bacterial small subunit ribosomal RNA", at positions 1 to 575 of the family's 1533-position model. The record is from RNAcentral.